GCCUUCGUGGUGUAGUGGUCAGCACGCUCGGUGCGUAAACGAGAGUUCCGUGGUUCGAGUCCCGGCGAGAGCA
This 73-nucleotide transfer RNA is filed under the name Stegodyphus mimosarum. It matches the Rfam family "tRNA". Rfam says of the family: Transfer RNA (tRNA) molecules are approximately 80 nucleotides in length. Their secondary structure includes four short double-helical elements and three loops (D, anti-codon, and T loops). The record is from Rfam by way of RNAcentral. Lineage: Eukaryota; Metazoa; Arthropoda; Arachnida; Araneae; Eresidae.